RNAcentral lists this ribosomal RNA (674 nucleotides) under Listeria monocytogenes. RNAcentral describes it as "partial 23S ribosomal RNA". It matches the Rfam family "Bacterial large subunit ribosomal RNA", at positions 703 to 1375 of the family's 2925-position model. The record is from RNAcentral. Lineage: Bacteria; Bacillati; Bacillota; Bacilli; Caryophanales; Listeriaceae.
CAGGUCGUAGACCCGAAACCAGGUGAUCUACCCAUGUCCAGGAUGAAGGUAAGGUAAUACUUACUGGAGGUCCGAACCCACGCACGUUGAAAAGUGCGGGGAUGAGGUGUGGGUAGCGGAGAAAUUCCAAUCGAACUUGGAGAUAGCUGGUUCUCUCCGAAAUAGCUUUAGGGCUAGCCUCGAGGUAAAGAGUCAUGGAGGUAGAGCACUGUUUGGACUAGGGGCCCUUCUCGGGUUACCGAAUUCAGAUAAACUCCGAAUGCCAUGUACUUAUACUCGGGAGUCAGACUGCGAGUGAUAAGAUCCGUAGUCGAAAGGGAAACAGCCCAGACCACCAGUUAAGGUCCCCAAAUAUAUGUUAAGUGGAAAAGGAUGUGGGGUUGCUUAGACAACCAGGAUGUUGGCUUAGAAGCAGCCACCAUUGAAAGAGUGCGUAAUAGCUCACUGGUCGAGUGACCCCGCGCCGAAAAUGUACCGGGGCUAAACAUAUUACCGAAACUGUGGAUGAACCUCUUUAGAGGUUCGUGGUAGGAGAGCGUUCUAAGGGCGGUGAAGUCAGACCGGAAGGACUGGUGGAGCGCUUAGAAGUGAGAAUGCCGGUAUGAGUAGCGAAAGAAGGGUGAGAAUCCCUUCCACCGAAUAUCUAAGGUUUCCUGAGGAAGGCUCGUCCGCUC